Molecule: ribosomal RNA, 212 nt
Filed under: uncultured bacterium
Lineage: Bacteria
Description: partial 16S ribosomal RNA
Rfam family: Bacterial small subunit ribosomal RNA
Source: RNAcentral
AACGAACGCUGGCGGCGUGCCUAACACAUGCAAGUCGUGCGAGGAACGGGGGGGCAACUCCCCUAGUAAAGCGGCGCACGGGUAAGUAACACGUAGGUAACCCUACCCCCGAGCCUGGGAUAACCUACCGAAAGGUGGGCUAAUACUGGAUAUGACCACGGGUAAUUUCGGUUCUGUGGUGAAAGGUGGCCUCUGCUUGCAAGCUACCACUC